AUUGAACGCUGGCGGCAGGCCUAACACACGCAAGUCGAGCGGAUGAAGGGAGCUUGCUCCUGGAUUCAGCGGCGGACGGGUGAGUAAUGCCUAGGAAUCUGCCUGGUAGUGGGGGAUAACGUCCGGAAACGGGCGCUAAUACCGCAUACGUCCUGAGGGAGAAAGUGGGGGAUCUUCGGACCUCACGCUAUCAGAUGAGCCUAGGUCGGAUUAGCUAGUUGGUGGGGUAAAGGCCUACCAAGGCGACGAUCCGUAACUGGUCUGAGAGGAUGAUCAGUCACACUGGAACUGAGACACGGUCCAGACUCCUACGGGAGGCAGCAGUGGGGAAUAUUGGACAGUGGGCGAAAGCCUGAUCCAGCCAUGCCGCGUGUGUGAAGAAGGUCUUCGGAUUGUAAAGCACUUUAAGUUGGGAGGAAGGGCAGUAAGUUAAUACCUUGCUGUUUUGACGUUACCAACAGAAUAAGCACCGGCUAACUUCGUG
This 484-nucleotide ribosomal RNA is filed under the name uncultured bacterium. RNAcentral describes it as "partial 16S ribosomal RNA". It matches the Rfam family "Bacterial small subunit ribosomal RNA", at positions 30 to 507 of the family's 1533-position model. The record is from RNAcentral.